Molecule: ribosomal RNA, 407 nt
Filed under: uncultured bacterium
Lineage: Bacteria
Description: partial 16S ribosomal RNA
Rfam family: Bacterial small subunit ribosomal RNA
Source: RNAcentral
GACGAACGCUGGCGGCGUGCCUAAUACAUGCAAGUAGGACGCAGUUGCGAACGGGUGAGUAACGCGUAGGUAACUACCUAUUAGUGGGGGAUAACUAUUGGAAACGAUAGCUAAUACCGCAUACUAGUAGAUGGACCUGCGUUGUAUUAGCUAGUAGGUAGGGUAAUGGCCUACCUAGGCAACGAUACAUAGCCGACCUGGAAGGGUGGUCGGCCAAAAUGGGACGGGGAAACGGCCCAGACUCCUACGGGGGGCAGCAGGAGGGAAACUUCGGAAAUGGGGGGAACCCUGACCGAGCAACGGCGGGUGGGUGAAGAAGGUUUUCGGGUCGUAAAGCUCUGUUGUUAAGGAAGCGGUACUUAACCAGAAAGGGACGGCUAACUACGUGCCAGCAGCCGCGGUAAUAC